ACGCCGUGACUGCGCCAUAUUGCAGGUUUGAGGUUAAUCUUCAACACGGCGU
RNAcentral lists this non-coding RNA (52 nucleotides) under Gardnerella pickettii JCP7719. The record is from RNAcentral. Lineage: Bacteria; Bacillati; Actinomycetota; Actinomycetes; Bifidobacteriales; Bifidobacteriaceae.